AGAAACUUAGGAUCAAUCCAUAAACCGAAGGCCUUCAAAGCCUUAAACAAGAGUUAAACCCUCUUAGUUUCUG
Molecule: transfer RNA, 73 nt
Filed under: Aramus guarauna (limpkin)
Lineage: Eukaryota; Metazoa; Chordata; Aves; Gruiformes; Aramidae
Description: tRNA-Trp
Rfam family: tRNA
About the family: Transfer RNA (tRNA) molecules are approximately 80 nucleotides in length. Their secondary structure includes four short double-helical elements and three loops (D, anti-codon, and T loops).
Source: RNAcentral